Molecule: long non-coding RNA, 3369 nt
Filed under: Coffea arabica (coffee)
Lineage: Eukaryota; Viridiplantae; Streptophyta; Magnoliopsida; Gentianales; Rubiaceae
Description: long non-coding RNA (CARA_LNC002559)
Source: RNAcentral
UCCUUAUAGGCAUGUCAGAAAAUGCCAUUUUUGUUGUAGUGUCAUUUAAUUUAUUUCUAAAAACUCACUUGGUUCCAAUUAUAGGGUGAUCUAGAGGUCUUUCAACUAAUGUCUGUACACUAUUUCUUUCAAAUUAGUUUAGUUCCUCUUACAUAGUCAUAAUCCAACUAUUGUAACGCCCCCACUUCUCCCUAAGGCGAACCAAAGGGUAUCCGCGGGACGCCUGCCUAACUCUCGCCAGGACUCAAACAAUUCCAUUCAACUUAUAGCCGGAUCACACAACACAAGCCAAUAACUUAGGUACAAUAAAUGCGGAAGUAUUCAAACUUAAUAAUAGUCAUCCAUUCUCCAAACCACACGUCAGAAUACAGAUUACAUUUCGUCCAAAGGUUACAUUUCCAUACCAGAAGUACAAUUUCAAAACCAAAGGCAUAAUCAAAAGUAAUAACAAGCCCUAAACAAAAGUACAUCAGAGGGCUUCUCCAUUUUACCUCCGAGUUCAAACCUGUUAAGGAAAACAAAUCUACAGGGUGAGCAAAAACGCUCGUGAGGCCAAGAACACACAUGCAGACACAUAGUUCAGAUAACAAGUUCAAAUAACAAUUCAGAUAAUAGCUUGCAAGUAAUUAAUAACGCCAACAAAGCGUAACCAGAAACAAUUCAAGGAUAUAGAAGCUCUCAGGAGCUAAAUUCCACAUUUGCCGAUGUCAUUUGCAUAUCUCCCCGUGAUGACUCUCCGUCAACCGGGUUGAUAUUUUCAUAUCCGUAGUUCACCACUUACUUCUCAUCCGUCCACCAUACACCACUUCGGGCCCGCACUACAUUUAUAACGCGAUACUAUACGAGUAUGCCAAGCGAGAUCUCUCAAUAGAUCAAGCUUAUCAUUUGAGUCUCAUGGCUCACCGAGGUUCCCGACCAAGCCCAUGCCAGCUCGAGUUCCAAGGUCGGCCUAUGAGUUUGGGCGUCCCCCAUUUGUCAUGUAAAUGUCGAGGAGAUUCACUCCAUCGACGUAUGCAAUCAUAGCAUACCAUUUCAUGUAUUCAAGCAUUUGAUAGGUUUAAGCAGACAUUUCAAGUCAUGUAAACCAAGCAAAUCAUGUUAAGCAUGAGUCAUUCGUUUCAAAUGAGAACGAGUGCGAUCAAGUACACACUCGACUCCAUUUUGUCAAAAUCAGUUAAGCUAAGCAUGAAAUCAGGUGAAUCAAGCAUGAAUCAAGACUUUAGGGUUCAAGUAGGCAUACACUUGACACUCACUAAGUUAUGCAAGCAAGUAAAUUGGAGGAAGAGUUCAAACUUCCACAGUAGGGUCCUCUUGGAGGUCCUCGUGCGUGCCUGAGCAAAUAAUAGUGAAUUAUCACCCAUAUCCCAAAUAUCGAGGAAUAAUUCGUUCACUAGUAUUACUCUAGGAAAUUCCGUGAAAAUGAACCUCAAUUACUCGUAAAUUGAGGUUCGAGAGAGGUUUAAUAACAUUCAACAAUAUUUAAGUCUUUAUCUAGGAAAUCGGGGAUAAAACGUUUAGAUAAUAUCAAAAGAAUAAAGAGUUCUUGAAAAACUCUAUUUCCUUGAAAGUUGGAAAAUUUUCAGUUUUGUUAUGAAUCUUUGAAAAAUCGUAACUCACUCGGCAUAAGUCGAGAAUUGGAAAACUUUAUACCGUUGAAAACCUCUUAGAAAGUACUGCAAGUUCCUAGAAGACACUUUUCCAUGAAUCGAAGUGGAAAGUGUUCAAAAAUGAGCCUAAAGUUGCUGUUCUAGAUUACCAGGAUUGAGCCGGGGUUGGUUUUUCGCUAACUUUGGAAAUUCGGCAAAAAUCACUCGUUGCAAACCGGCCCUUGAAACUUAUAAAUCAAUUAGAAGUACAAGUGAAGUUUCGGACAGAACAAGCGGUUCAGGAAUCGGAGUUUCGAGCACCAAGAUAUGAUAGCUCAAAGUUGGGAGAAAUUCAAGACUGUUACAAAAUUUCCAGAUUUGGUUCCGACUUUGGACCUUUCAUUAAGUGUCGAAACGGACUUGGAUUGACACCAAAUUUUGCAGUAUAAUACUCCCAUAUGACAGGUAUCUCUCUAUCAAAUUUCAUGGAAAAAUACCCUCGGAAGGGUGGUCAUUCAAUCAACCAAAGUUUGGAAAAAUCCUUAAGGCAAUCUGCCUUUAAACUUUCAUUACCCAUUUCAAAACGUUUAAUCAAGCAAACUAUCCAAUCAUGGUUCAUUUGUGAAAUAAAGGCCUAAGAAACAUCCAUAAUGCCUUUGGUAAGUGUUUGGUAUCAAGAACAUCAAUUAACAAGUUCACUACAAGAUCUUGUUCCAAACCAGUCCAACAUUAGGUUUUUUUUCCAAAACAGAGCAGUCCACUUGUUUCAGUCACAACUCAGUCAAUUUAACUCGAAAUCGAGCAUGGCUUACGCCGUUGGAAAAUACAUUCAUAGGGAUAAAAUAUCACAGAAGAAAUCGUUCCCAAAUUCGGCACCCAUCUGGUUCAAAUUCGGGCAUCAAGUUGCUGCCUGAACACUUCAUUCCAGAUGAACAGAGCAACAGGACAGCGAACUUAAAACAUUUGGUUCGGCUUGCUCACAAAGAAUCAGAACGUGCAUUAUAUACCAAAUUAAAACCAGGAAUGUCUAGUUUCCAACGCCACCAACGGCACAUGAUUUCGACAUCCGAGGACAGAGUUAUAGCCAAAAUACUACCACUGGUCAGAAUCAUACGCGAACAGUUUUCCAGACUUGCUAGUUUCUCAAGAAAAAUUCAUUUGCUCAAUCAAACAUCAAUAUUUUCUAAUGAAAUUUUUCACACAUCUAAUACAUCCUAUAAACAUCCAAUUCAAGCCGUUAGACCAUUAAAAAUUGGCCUGGAAAUGGCCGAACAGAGCAGGGGCAAAAUGGUCAAGUUUGGCCCUUGCUCUCUACGUGAGUUUUCUAGCAGUUUCCUUCAACAAAUCCAUAACUUAAACACUAAUCUGAUAUCAUAAACUUCAUCAAGCACAGAAUCAGCAACAACCCAAGAGUGGGAAUUCAUAGAGCCCACUUUUCCAACAAUACAAGCUACUAGAGUGACGAUUCUAGCUCAAAUGCAUAAAUCAAACUUCAUAAAACAAGUUUAAGGAGUUAGAUGGCUACCUACUUUGAUGGCUGUUCAGAUCAGAAUAUUUCGGUCCCUAAGAAGCCUGAAGACAGCCGUGAAACUCCUCCCUUUUCCAGCCUAAGUUGUUGUCCGAGUAUUGAGCUAGUUGUAGUUAAAUUUUGAGAGAAUUUGGUGGAAGUUUGAUAGUGAUUUGCAUGGCUUUGGAAGAAAGAAAUGGUGAGAGUCUUUGGUUGUUUCUCUGCAGCAGUUGGCCGACUAUGAAGCUAGAAGAAAGGAAAUGAAUUGCGGUUCUG